Molecule: transfer RNA, 72 nt
Organism: Toxocara canis (dog roundworm)
Lineage: Eukaryota; Metazoa; Nematoda; Chromadorea; Rhabditida; Toxocaridae
Rfam family: tRNA
About the family: Transfer RNA (tRNA) molecules are approximately 80 nucleotides in length. Their secondary structure includes four short double-helical elements and three loops (D, anti-codon, and T loops).
Source: Rfam
GCUGUAGUACCUCAGUGGUAGAGGCCCCGCUUUGCAUGCGGGGAGACCUGGGUUCGAUUCCCGGCUGCUUCC